This 40-nucleotide transfer RNA is filed under the name Armeria pungens. Its description in RNAcentral is "partial tRNA-Ser". The record is from RNAcentral. Lineage: Eukaryota; Viridiplantae; Streptophyta; Magnoliopsida; Caryophyllales; Plumbaginaceae.
GGAGAGAUGGCUGAGUGGNNGAUAGCCCCGGUCUGAAAAC